Molecule: microRNA precursor, 84 nt
Filed under: Struthio camelus australis
Lineage: Eukaryota; Metazoa; Chordata; Aves; Struthioniformes; Struthionidae
Description: mir-184 microRNA precursor family
Rfam family: mir-184 microRNA precursor family
Source: Rfam by way of RNAcentral
CCAUUCUCGCCCCCUUAUCACUUUUCCAGCCCAGCUUCGUCAUUGUAACUGUUGGACGGAGAACUGAUAAGGGUGCGCGAGUGA